GUGAGGAAUAUUGCACAAUGGGCGAAAGCCUGAUGCAGCAACGCCGCGUGAGGGACGAAGGCCUUCGGGUCGUAAACCUCUUUUCUGGGGGAAGAGCAAGGACGGUACCUCAGGAAUAAGUCUCGGCUAACUACGUGCCAGCAGCCGCGGUAACACGUAGGAGGCGAGCGUUAUCCGGAUUUACUGGGCGUAAAGCGCGCGCAGGCGGCUUCGUUAGUCGGACGUGAAAGCUCCUGGCUUAACUGGGAGAGGCCGUUCGAUACUGCGAGGCUUGAGGUUGGGAGAGGGGUGUGGAAUUCCCGGUGUAGUGGUGGAAUGCGUAGAUAUCGGGAGGAACACCUGUGGCGAAAGCGGCACCCUGGCCCACACCUGACGCUGAGGUGCGAAAGCGUGGGGAGCAAACAGGAUUAGAUACCCGAGUAGUCC
This 426-nucleotide ribosomal RNA is filed under the name uncultured bacterium. RNAcentral's name for it is "bacterial SSU rRNA". It matches the Rfam family "Bacterial small subunit ribosomal RNA", at positions 354 to 796 of the family's 1533-position model. The record is from RNAcentral.